Molecule: ribosomal RNA, 707 nt
Filed under: Microbacterium hydrocarbonoxydans
Lineage: Bacteria; Bacillati; Actinomycetota; Actinomycetes; Micrococcales; Microbacteriaceae
Description: bacterial SSU rRNA
Rfam family: Bacterial small subunit ribosomal RNA
Source: RNAcentral
GCAGUCGAACGAUGAAGCCUAGCUUGCUGGGUGGAUUAGUGGCGAACGGGUGAGUAACACGUGAGCAACCUGCCCCUGACUCUGGGAUAAGCGCUGGAAACGGCGUCUAAUACUGGAUACGAACCAUGAAGGCAUCUUCAGUGGUUGGAAAGAUUUAUUGGUUGGGGAUGGGCUCGCGGCCUAUCAGCUUGUUGGUGAGGUAAUGGCUCACCAAGGCGUCGACGGGUAGCCGGCCUGAGAGGGUGACCGGCCACACUGGGACUGAGACACGGCCCAGACUCCUACGGGAGGCAGCAGUGGGGAAUAUUGCACAAUGGGCGCAAGCCUGAUGCAGCAACGCCGCGUGAGGGAUGACGGCCUUCGGGUUGUAAACCUCUUUUAGCAGGGAAGAAGCGAAAGUGACGGUACCUGCAGAAAAAGCACCGGCUAACUACGUGCCAGCAGCCGCGGUAAUACGUAGGGUGCAAGCGUUAUCCGGAAUUAUUGGGCGUAAAGAGCUCGUAGGCGGUUUGUCGCGUCUGCUGUGAAAUCUGGGGGCUCAACCCCCAGCCUGCAGUGGGUACGGGCAGACUAGAGUGCGGUAGGGGAGAUUGGAAUUCCUGGUGUAGCGGUGGAAUGCGCAGAUAUCAGGAGGAACACCGAUGGCGAAGGCAGAUCUCUGGGCCGUAACUGACGCUGAGGAGCGAAAGGGUGGGGAGCAAACAGGC